AGAGUUUGAUCAUGGCUCAGGACGAACGCUGGCGGCGUGCUUAACACAUGCAAGUCGAGCGGAAAGGCCCUUCGGGGUACUCGAGCGGCGAACGGGUGAGUAACACGUGAGCAACCUGCCUUAGCUUCGGGAUAGCUCCGGGAAACCGGAAUUAAUACCGGAUAUGACCCUGACUGACAUCGGUCGGGGUGGAAAGGAUU
RNAcentral lists this ribosomal RNA (200 nucleotides) under uncultured bacterium. RNAcentral describes it as "partial 16S ribosomal RNA". It matches the Rfam family "Bacterial small subunit ribosomal RNA", at positions 8 to 211 of the family's 1533-position model. The record is from RNAcentral.